This is a long non-coding RNA of Polypterus senegalus (gray bichir), 458 nucleotides long. RefSeq lists it as uncharacterized. The record is from RefSeq and is a predicted model, not a curated record. Lineage: Eukaryota; Metazoa; Chordata; Cladistia; Polypteriformes; Polypteridae. The transcript has 3 exons.
AUACACGCCACCCACGCUAGAAAGAUGCAAACUUCUGCAACUGUGAAAAGACGAGCUUCGCCCUCGUCAGCCUGGAGAGAAGUGCAAGAACUUUGCACCUGAGGUAUUGUGAUCCUGUGGAAAUAAAACCAUCAAUCUGCCGAAGAGGCUAUUUAAAUUCACCUGAGUGAAAUUUUCAUUUGAAGAUAAUUCAUUGACUGAGAUCUGUUAUUCAAGUUCAAUAACAAACCAUGGGGAAUCAACCAUCAGAAUGCCAUGGAUGUAACUGUUGUGUCUGUGGUACUUGGCUUCCUCCUUGCACAUCAUUUGAUAACUUUAGAAAGGACUGGAUUGAGGGAUAUUAUGUCUACAUUUACAAUGGUGGCCAAUAUUACAGAGAAGUUGGGGCAGACAAUCAAUACAAGUGUCCUGACUGCUUCUAUCAGCCAAUAAGAGAACGACUUGAAAGAGAAGAAAGG